Molecule: ribosomal RNA, 747 nt
Filed under: uncultured Lachnospiraceae bacterium
Lineage: Bacteria; Bacillati; Bacillota; Clostridia; Lachnospirales; Lachnospiraceae
Description: bacterial SSU rRNA
Rfam family: Bacterial small subunit ribosomal RNA
Source: RNAcentral
GAUGAACGCGGCGGCGUGCUUAACACAUGCAAGUCGAACGAAGCUGCUAAAAGGAAGUCUUCGGACAGAAUUUUAGUAGACUUAGUGGCGGACGGGUGAGUAACGCGUGGAUAACCUGCCUUAUACAGGGGGAUAACGGAGAGAAAUUUCCGCUAAGACCGCAUAAGACCACAGCACCGCAUGGUGCAGGGGUAAAAUAUUUAUAGGUAUAAGAUGGAUCCGCGUCCGAUUAGCUAGUUGGUGAGGUAGAGGCUCACCAAGGCGACGAUCGGUAGCCGGCCUGAGAGGGUGAACGGCCACAUUGGGACUGAGACACGGCCCAAACUCCUACGGGAGGCAGCAGUGGGGAAUAUUGGACAAUGGGGGAAACCCUGAUCCAGCGACGCCGCGUGAGUGAAGAAGUAUUUCGGUAUGUAAAGCGCUAUCAGCAGGGAAGAAAAUGACGGUACCUGACUAAGAAGCCCCGGCUAACUACGUGCCAGCAGCCGCGGUAAUACGUAGGGGGCAAGCGUUAUCCGGAUUUACUGGGUGUAAAGGGAGCGCAGACGGCGAAGCAAGUCUGAAGUGAAAUGCAUGGGCUCAACCCAUGAAUUGCUUUGGAAACUGUUUGGCUUGAGUGUCGGAGGGGUAAGCGGAAUUCCUAGUGUAGCGGUGAAAUGCGUAGAUAUUAGGAGGAACACCGGAGGCGAAGGCGGCUUACUGGACGACAACUGACGUUGAGGCUCGAAGGCGUGGGGAGCAAACAGG